This 20-nucleotide microRNA is filed under the name Mus musculus (house mouse). RNAcentral's name for it is "mmu-miR-6961-5p". The record is from miRBase by way of RNAcentral. Lineage: Eukaryota; Metazoa; Chordata; Mammalia; Rodentia; Muridae.
UGACUGGGAAGGAAAUGGCC